UUUAUUGAAUUCAACUUUUUGCCAAGGAA
RNAcentral lists this non-coding RNA (29 nucleotides) under Mus musculus (house mouse). Lineage: Eukaryota; Metazoa; Chordata; Mammalia; Rodentia; Muridae. The record is from RNAcentral. RNAcentral also lists the same sequence under 1 other name.